Phyllopteryx taeniolatus (common seadragon) is the source of this 2302-nucleotide long non-coding RNA. RefSeq lists it as uncharacterized. Lineage: Eukaryota; Metazoa; Chordata; Actinopteri; Syngnathiformes; Syngnathidae. The record is from RefSeq and is a predicted model, not a curated record. The transcript has 3 exons.
GUUUUCCUGUCAAAGUUAAGAGCAUGAAUUGCCAUUAAUUAUUGCCUGGUGUAGCAGUUCUGAGGACCAGGGUUCAAAUCCCGACACGCCUGUGUGGAGUUUGCAUGUUCUCCCCGUGCCUGUGUAGGUUUUCUCCGGGCAUUCCGGUUUCCUCCCACAUCCCAAAAACAUGCGUGGUAGGUUAAUUGAAGACUCUAAAUUGCCUGUAGGUGUGAGUGCGAAUGGUAUUUUGUUUCUAUGUGCCCUGCGGUUGGCUGGCGACCAGUUCAGGGUCGCCCGAAGACAGCUGGGAUAGGCUCCAGCACGCCCGCGACCCUAGUGAGGAGAAGCGGUACGGAAAAUGCAUGUAUAUAUGUAUAAUUUUGUUGAUUAUACCUUACAGCAAACAAAAACAAAAAUUCAUCAACUUUGGAAACUAGAAUAUUACAUAACAAACAAUCAAGAAACAAGGAAAAUCAUUUUUAAUGUGGAAAUUAGAACAGGAAUUUUGUGUUUCAUGAAUCUAUAUACAGUAUGGGUACUGAAAUAAAUUGACUUUUCUACCAUAUUGUAAUUUAUUGAGAAGUACAGUACCUGUAGAAACAGAGUAUCAAGUCAAAUCAAUACAUUUAAGAUACUCACGAAGCUCUAAGGAUGCUUGAGCUUUAUCAGUAUCUUAAAUAUAUUAAUUUGAGGAUGUUGAAUCUCUGUUGGAGCAUGUUUGUGUAGUGUUUGCAUAUUCUCCCCAUGCUUGCGUAAGCUUUUUGUACUGGUACUCCAGCGUCCUCCGACAUUCAAAAAACAUUAAUUAGAGACUUGCCCCAUAUUUGUUUAAUUUGAAUGGUUGUUUGUCUAUAUGUGCCCUGGGACUAAUGAGUGUACCCAGCCUCUCACCCAAAGUCAGCUGGGAAAGGCUCCAUUUAGCCAUGACCAUAAUGAGGACAAUUGGUAGAAAUAGAAAAUGGAUGGAUGAACGCAACAUAAACCUAAACUGUUGGAUUUUCCUCUGCAGUCACCAAAAAUUACCCAAACAAACUUAAAGUGAAGAAAAAAUGGGAAAUUAAAAACAGAAGCUACAACAGUACUGAGGGAAGAACAUAUUCUUUCAUUCAUUUUUCAAACCGCUUAUCCUCACUUGGGUCGCGGGCGUGCUAGAACCUAUCCAAGCUACUGUAUCUUCGGGCAAGAGGCGGGGUACACCCUGAACUGGUCGCCAGCCAAUCGCAGGGGACAUAUAAACAAACGAACAUAUGGGUUUUUAAAAUAUAUUUCUAGUCUGUGUGCGCAUGAAUUUUACUGGCAUUAUUUAAUUUUCAUAAUUUGAAUCUCAAAUGUGUCACACCGCAGCCUAAAGGGAGAAGGGACCCCAUUACAUGUUGUUUGAACUGAGUUUACGCUGUUAAUUAAUACACUGUUUUUGUUUGGUGCCUCCAGACAUGUGGAAACCUAGUGACUGACCCUUGUUGAGGAAUUAAAUUUUUAAUCCUGUGGCAAUGAUUUACCAGACAGAUAAUCUCUUGUCCUGAUACAUCCUCCAGCGUUGUCAUCCUGACUUGGCAUUGGAUAACAGACCUAACUCUCAUCCACAUCCAUUAGACUCUGGAAGGCAUGGAAAAAUUGUUCAUGUCACAAAAACUAACAGAUAUUUUGAGGAAUGCAGCUCAGUUUUUCUACAUAACAAAAUGAAAAUGCAUAAUGGAAAGUAAACAAGUCAAAUACCAAUUUAGUGGUAAUAUUGGCUAUGGAUAUUUGCCAGGCCUAUGAUUAUUCCCAACAGUAGAUAGAAAGUCUACACACCCCUGUUCAAAUGCCAGGUUUUUGUGAUACAAAAGAAAUGAGGCCAAGAUAAAUCAUUUAAAAACUUUUUUUCACCAUUAAAGUGGCCUAUAUCCUGUACAAAGCAAUUGGGGAAAAAAGAAAGAAAAAUAAAUCUUUUCAAGAGUGGAAUCAGAGAGAAACAACUGAGAUGUGGUUGCAUAAGUGUCCACUGUCAUGAUCUGUGCCCUGCAGUUCCUCUGCGAGGCGUGGGUUGGCGCCUUGUGCUUCUUUUUCCCCUCUCUCUCCCCAGCACUAAUCACCUCCUCGCCUGCGCACCUGGUUCCAAUCAGCACUCAUCACUGCCUGCUCUUAAGCCUGCCUGUUCCUGCGUUCCAGCGCCAGAGUAUUCUCGCUCCAACGUGUGCCCUCCUGUGUCUCCUGCCACGACGCUCGCUCCAGCCGCAUUGCAAAGUUCACUCACCUGCUCAUGCUCCAGUCUCCCGCAUGGUCCCUGCUCCUACGGACCACCAUCACGCCUUGAAUUCUUGACCUCGCGCUUCACCCA